Molecule: ribosomal RNA, 406 nt
Filed under: uncultured prokaryote
Also listed under: 1 other name
Description: bacterial SSU rRNA
Rfam family: Bacterial small subunit ribosomal RNA
Source: RNAcentral
UGGGGAAUAUUGGGCAAUGGGGGAAACCCUGACCCAGCAACGCCGCGUGAGGGAAGAAGGUUUUCGGAUCGUAAACCUCUGUCCUUGGUGAAGAGAAGAAGACGGUAGCCAAGGAGGAAGCCCCGGCUAACUACGUGCCAGCAGCCGCGGUAAUACGUAGGGGGCAAGCGUUGUCCGGAAUGAUUGGGCGUAAAGGGCGCGUAGGCGGCUUGGUAAGUUUGGAGUGAAAGUCCUACUUUUAAGGUGGGAAUUGCUUUGGAAACUGCUGAGCUUGAGUGUAGGAGAGGUUAGUGGAAUUCCCGGUGUAGCGGUGAAAUGCGUAGAGAUCGGGAGGAACACCAGUGGCGAAGGCGACUAACUGGACUAUAACUGACGCUGAGGCGCGAAAGUGUGGGGAGCAAACAGG